GCCCGGGCGGGGCCGCCGCUGAGCGCCGGUCUGCGGGGGUGUGCGGGGGUGUGCCCACCCUGUGCCCACCCUGUGCCCACCCUGUGGGGAUCUGACACACGCCCCGUCACAGGCACGGCUGCCCUGCCCUCAUCAGCGCCUUAGUGGUGGUACAGCCCGUUGGUGGUGGCUGGGAGUGGCAAAAGAAAGCUGCACAUGUCAGCGAAGGAGCAAAUGUCACCGAACGGGCUAGGAAGAGAAGGAAAAGGCAGAAUAAGUGCAGAGGUUUAUCUGCGGUGUAGCUUGGGAGGAUGCUCGUGGGGCUGGACACGGCUGGUCCUCCAGGCUGUGGCCGUUAGCUGUGUGCGGGUCCCGGAGGCUGGCCUGCCCUCCUGCAUCUUGCUGGUGCACGGUCACAGUGCAGCAGGACCCUGAGCUGCUCUCCUCCAGGAGGACACAGGCUUUGCAGCUGAAGGUAGCACCAAGCUGACAGAGGAGAGGGGUAACCCUCAGGCUAAGGUAAAAAGACACACCUUUGAACCUCAACGUGCUUGUCAAGGAAACACAAACUUUAAAAUCUCAUCUAAUGUUUGGAGAAGAAGAAAAAAAAAAAAAGAUUAGUCAAAGGAUUUGACUGAAACGCUCCAAACCCCAGAUGGAAACUGCGGAGCCCUCCCGACCCCCGGAGCAGCGCCAGGACAGCCCGGGGCUGCCCCAGGAACCCGCCGGCUCCGCAGCCAGCACGGCCGGAGCUGCUGCUUCUCCCGGGCCGGCUGGUGCCGGGUGCUCGGUCCCGGCCCGCGGGGCUGCCGGAGCAGCCCGCACCAGGAAGGGCAGCCCCGAGCAGAGCCCAGGAGGCCGGGCGGGCUGCGUCCCUGCUCUGCUGCUGCGUGUCCUCAGCGACCAGGUCCGUGUGCGGGCUGGAGAGCCCAGCCCUGCUCUUCAGGCGCCUGGGGCGUAACCGGGGAGACCUUGGACCUCUUUGUACUUCCCGCACAAACGCAAAGUUUUAAAAACUCCUCCAAGUAUUCACAAAGUCAACCCAAAUAAUUUAAGUGUUCUGCUUUACUGCUGUCCCUAGUAACAGGGGCAAAUGAUUCAGCGAAAAUCUUAGUAUAAUCCUCCAGAGGUAGAUGAAUGCACAGAUGGAUUUUGGAUGUGUUCCCAAGCUGCUGCAUUGGUUGGGUCCAAAAACUCAUAAUAAAUGAAUUUAACCAGGAAA
Apus apus (common swift) is the source of this 1201-nucleotide long non-coding RNA. RefSeq lists it as uncharacterized. The transcript has 4 exons. NCBI's taxonomy places the organism in Eukaryota, Metazoa, Chordata, Aves, Apodiformes, Apodidae. The record is from RefSeq and is a predicted model, not a curated record.